GGAGAAUGGAGAUUGUGAGCCAUGUCUUCUUGUCCAUCACUUCCUGACCUCACAAAUGCUCUUAUGGAUGAAUGGACAAUAAUUCCCACAGACACACUCAAAUCUUGUAGAAAGCCUUCACAGUGGGAUGUCAUGAAUUCUCCUGUAGGUGUAAUAUGUAGGUGUCCAAAUACUUUUGUCCCUAUUAGGUGUAUAUGUAGGAUUUAGAGCAGCUAGACCAAGGUAUGCUUCAUUGCAUUUGAUCAGGAGGAGAAACUUUUACUUGCUACAGGGGAUGACGCUAUAUUUAACACGAAACAAAUACAUUGGGUCCUGGUUUGCUUUUAUACUGGUCAUAUGUAUUUGCAGUUGAACCAAAAUUAGGGAACAAAGUGACACGUGACAAGCCUGCAAGCAUAGAUGUGUUGAGUGAGACGCAUCGAAGGCAGUUCAGUACGCUUGGUGGUCAAUAGAUUCAUGUGGACUCAGACAAAACAGUGAGUUUUGGUAAUCAAUAGUUAAUAAAUACAUUGAUUAACAAUAUUUAUAUAGCACAUCAACAUGUUUACAUAGUUACAUCAGUAUGCAUUUUUUUAAAGAAAAGAGUUACCUUGGUUAAAGAGCAUUUAUCCAUGUAUGAAUGUAUGUAUUUAUUCAUGUAUUUAGCAGUGGCCCUAAUAUGCUGUCGUAGCAAACAUACCUUUCUCCAACAAAACAGUUGCAUAGUGAAGACACAAGUGUGCUCGGGCCCAGAACAUAGCAGUGUGCACAGGGGAAAAGGGAGUACAAUCAUUCUCUGGUAUUGUACAAGGCAACAGCGCCUAGUGUGAGUGCACCUUUAUGUUCUUAAACUUGGUAUGGUUGUCAAAAGAAGUCAUAUCCUAAUUUUUAUUGAUAUAUUUAACUGAGGGUCUGUGUAAUCUUAACUUACUGACUAGUGUAAACUUUGACUUUUAAAUACAACAGAAGGAGAAGAAGCCAAAAUUGACUUGCAGGUGCAGAAAUCUGCUAUUAAAAAGGAAACAUUCAAACGCCACAUGUCUAGACAGGACAUGACACAUUAAAACACAUUUAUAUAUCUGUGCACACACACACAUGUGCCUUGUCCUUGUUUUUACUAUGCACUUAUUUACCAUUCAUCAUAAAUUCAUUAAAUGAAUGUCUCAUGAACUUAAACAGUUUGUCUGUGCUCUUUCCUCUGCGUUGUCCUGCAUAUAGUCUCCACCAUGGUUUGUUGUGCUGCCUGGAGAUGCUCCUGUCGCUCAGAGUGACUGACACACAUCUUAACAUUACCAGAGAUUACACCAACAAAAAUGAGGUUUUGGCUCGAAUCUCAGCAUGUACAACGGACAUCAUCUUAUGGAGCAGCAGCUUAAGUUGUCUUCAACCUUCAAAAGUUCAAAGACAUCACUUCCCUCCUGUGUACCCUUCCCUGGCUUCCUGUAGCAGCCUCCCCUUGAGUGAACAGCAGAAUGACUGUCUUAGAACAGAGUCAAACUAACCAGGUUGUGUUCCAAACCGCAUGGAAGGAGAGUCUCCUAAAUUAUAGAAAAGCUCUUAGUGCUGCUAGAGCAAAAUAUUUCUCCUCGCUAGAAGAAAACAAAACUAAUCCUACAUUUAAUACUGUAGCAAAACUAACUAGGAAGACCACCACUACAGAAGCAUCCACACCAUCAGUAUUUAGCAGCGACAACUUUUUGAAUUUUUUCAGUGAUGAAGUUGAAAACAUAUGGCACAAAAUUAAUACUAUUAAUCUAAACCUGAGCAAUCUGAUGACAAACCAACUAGAUGUCAGUAUAGUUACAUCAGAUCAGCGUUUAGAGUCUUUUAACCCUCUCCGUGAGACCAAGUUAAUUUCACUAAUUUCUUGAUCAAAAUCGACAACAUGUAUACUAGAUCCCGUACCCACAACUUUCCUAAAACAGAUACAACUCUUUUAAAAAAGAUAAAUUCAUCUCUUAGUACUGGCUAUGUCCCUAAAUCAUUUAAAGCAGUUAUCAAACCUCUGGCAAAAAACCUAACCUAGACCCCUGCCAGUUGUCUAAUUACAGACCGAUAUCAACCCUCCCCUUCAUCUCCAAAAUCCUAGAAAAGGUUGUAGCACAGCAGCUAUGUUCAUACCUGCAUAGAAAUAACAUUUGUCAGUCAGGGUUUAGGCCUCAUCAUAGCACAGAGACAGCGCUGGUUAAAGUUGUGAAUGACCUGUUACUGGCCUCUGAUCAGGGUUGUGUCUCCCUGCUUGUACUGCUUGACUUAAGUGCAGCUUUUGACACCAUUGAUCUCCUUUAUAGGCUGGAAAAUAUUGUUGGAGUUUAGGGAACAGCCUAUUUGAGUGACCGUUAUCAGUUUGUAGAUGUAAAUGGUGAAUAUUCUAUGCACAGUAAGGUUAAGUUUGGUGUUCCACAAGGUUCUGUUUUAGGCCCAUCUAUGUAUGUAUAGAUAUGCUACCUCUGGUUAAUAUUAUUCUUAAACAUGGUAUCAGCUUUCACUGUUAUGCUGAUGAUACACAGUUCUAUGUGUCAGCACAUCCAGAUGAGAGACACCAGUUUAGACUCUGGAUGUUGAACAAUUUUCUUUUACUAAAUUAUAUAAUAAAAAAUAUUAGGACCACAGGCAGCUAGAAGUAAACUUUCUGAUUACAUAGUAACUCUGGAUGGUAUUUCAGUUACACCAUGUACAGCUGUUAUAGACCUUGGUGUGAUUAUUAAUUCCAGUUUUUCUUUUGAAGCUCAUGUAGCUAUCACCACCAGGAUAGCCUUCUAUCAUCUUAGAAACCUUGCUAAGCUAUGAUGUCACUACAUGACGCAGAAAUACUUGUCCAUGCUUUUGUUACCUCUAGGUUGGAUUAUUGUAAUCCCUUUUGUCUGGUUGUUCCAGUAGGUGUAUAAACAAACUGCAGUUAGUCCAGAAUGCAGCAGCCAGAAUCCUUACUAGAACCAGAAAAUAUGAACACAUCACCCCUGUCUUAUGCACACUGCACUGGCUCCCGGUCAGAUUUCGCAUUGACUAUAAAAUAAUGUCUUCUGCAUUUAACCCAUCUGUGGCAGUGAACACGCACACACCAGUGCACCAGUCAACACACACCCAGUGUGUCGGGCAGCCAUCCCCGGUGCCCAUGGCACUUCAGCCAUGGAUCCUGGGAAUUGAACCGGCAACCUUCUGGUACCAAGCCCAGUCCUCUAAUUAUUAGGCCAAGGCUAAUUAUUCGUUAUUCUUAUUAAUUUUUCUAGUUUGGACCAGUGUAGGAUGAGUCUCUUAAGGUUUCUUCCUCUUGCUCUGAGGGAGUAGUUUUCCUUGCCAAUGUUUUGCUUAGCUUGUUCAUUAAGGUUUGGACCAGGGUUUUUUGUAAACUACUUCGAGUCUGAUUGUGAAAAGUGCUGUCAUUUUCAUUUUAAUUUAUGUAAUGUAUCACAUUUUCCCAGCUGUAUCUAAUGCAACUCAAGUUCAAUUUAUGUUGUAUUUUAACAUGAUUGGUUCUACCAUCAUUCGUAAAUGUGUUUAAAUCGAUAAAUAUUUUAUUCAGUCAACUCUGAACUGAAACUAUAUUACAGGUGGCUGUAAUCUCAUGCAGGCUCACUAUUUUUAAGGUUACAUCAUGUUCUAUAUUGUUAUAUGUACAUUAAACUCAAUUUUUAUCUGUUGUAUGAUGUUGACCUUAUAAUAUUUUUAUAUUUUCUGCAAGUUUCCAUGUAAUAAAGGCUACUUGGCAUCAGCUGAA
Molecule: long non-coding RNA, 3697 nt
Organism: Trichomycterus rosablanca
Lineage: Eukaryota; Metazoa; Chordata; Actinopteri; Siluriformes; Trichomycteridae
Exons: 2
Source: RefSeq, a predicted model, not a curated record